Nomascus leucogenys (northern white-cheeked gibbon) is the source of this 231-nucleotide long non-coding RNA. RefSeq lists it as uncharacterized. The transcript is spliced from 3 exons. Lineage: Eukaryota; Metazoa; Chordata; Mammalia; Primates; Hylobatidae. The record is from RefSeq and is a predicted model, not a curated record.
UACUAUUUUUUAUCAUUAUUUUAGAGUGUACUCCUUCUACUUAUUACAAAAAAAAAAAGUUAGCUGUAAAGCAGCCUCAGGCAGGCCCUUCAGGAGGUAUUCUACAAGAUGUGGAGAUGAGACAGUGAUGUAGAUGAUCCUCACCCUGGGUAGGCCUAAGCCAAUGUGUGUUUGUGUCUUAGUUUUUAACAAAAAAGUUUAAAAAGUUAAAAAAAUAAAUAUUAAAAAUAG